ACUCCUACGGGAGGCAGCAGUGGGGAAUAUUGCACAAUGGGGAAACCCUGAUGCAGCCAUGCCGCGUGUGUGAAGAAGGCCUCGGUUGUAAAGCACUUCAGUAGGGAGGAAGGUAGUGUAGUUAACACCUGCACUAUUUGACGUUACCUACAGAAGAAGCACCGGCUAACUCCGUGCCAGCAGCCGCGGUAAUACGGAGGGGUGCGAGCGUUAAUCGGAAUUACUGGGCGUAAAGCGCAUGCAGGCGGCCUGUUAAGUCAGAUGUGAAAGCCCGGGGGCUUAACCUCGGAAUUGCAUUUGAAACUGGCAGGCUAGAGUCUUGUAGAGGGGGUAGAAUUUCAGGUGUAGCGGUGAAAUGCGUAGAGAUCUGAAGGAAUACCAGUGGCGAAGGCGGCCCCCUGGACAAAGACUGACGCUCAGAUGCGAAAGCGUGGGGAGCAAAC
This 443-nucleotide ribosomal RNA is filed under the name uncultured bacterium. RNAcentral describes it as "bacterial SSU rRNA". It matches the Rfam family "Bacterial small subunit ribosomal RNA", at positions 335 to 773 of the family's 1533-position model. The record is from RNAcentral.